RNAcentral lists this long non-coding RNA (558 nucleotides) under Rattus norvegicus (Norway rat). Its description in RNAcentral is "long non-coding RNA NONRATT021605". Lineage: Eukaryota; Metazoa; Chordata; Mammalia; Rodentia; Muridae. The record is from RNAcentral.
AGGUCUUCGUGAUGGUCAAGUUGUCCUGCAGGAUGGGGAGACGGUGUGGGUGCAGCUCAGGAAGAGGGAGACUGCGAGCUGCCCACCUUUCCCAGCAGGUGACAUAAUUUUGUUCUUUGUGGCUGAGUAAGAAAGACUCCAUUGUCUGAACACACCGUAUUGUCUUGACCCAGUCAUCUGUUGAUGGCAACUUGGCUGGUUCUGGCUCCACUGGGACUCCUACAGUGGUGAACCUGGAUAUGUAGAUGUCUCUGUGGAAUUCACACGGUAGCCCAGGCUAGUCUUAAACUUACCACCAUUCUCUCCACUUUUGGAGACCUGGGAUGGCAGCUAUGCACUCUCAUGACUGGAUCUGUGGCUGAAGCUCUGCGAGCCCUGAUGUAACCCUAUCACCAUGAGUACUUCUCCACUGACCGUGGCUGUGCUCCUGAUGUGCAGGGCUUGGAGGAGGGGAGAGCUGUCCUGAGUCCCUGUCACACCCUGGGGACAGUUCUGAAUCAACUGCAGUGCCCAUCACUGUAAAUAGUAGAGACGUGCAUAAAUGCCUUUAUUGAUCUG